Molecule: long non-coding RNA, 2009 nt
Filed under: Sus scrofa (pig)
Lineage: Eukaryota; Metazoa; Chordata; Mammalia; Artiodactyla; Suidae
Description: lncRNA (ENSSSCG00000061077.1)
Source: RNAcentral
GGAACCGCCUGGGAGGCCUGAGGCCAGAAGCCUCGGGGGAGGAGGGAGCCCCGAGGAGGACACUUCCCGAGGGCUCUGGGCCUUUUGGAGAGCUGGGAGGAAGAGGGGGUGAGUCAGUCUUCCAAACGGAGGGGAAAGUCUAAGUUUUUCUGGGUUGGGACCUGGGGAAAACUGGACCGACCCCAGGGAGGCUGUGCUGGGCCCUGGGAAUGUCUGGCUCUUAGACCCAGUGCGGCCCAGUAAGGCUUCAGUUCCUGAUUCCUAUCUCCUUCGAGCCCAGUCUUUAAGUAAGUGGCCAGAGGCCCCCCAGGCCGCCUAGAACCUGGAAAAGUAACAGCUCAAAGCCUUCUCCCUCCCUUCCCCUGACCUCGUUUCAGAGAGGGUGGGGUUAGGACCAGAUGCCCGCCAGAGGCUGAGGGAGGCCUCUGAGGCAGGACAGUGAAAGCCUUCUUUUUUCCAGCCUUCAGAGCGGGUGCAGAGAAUGUUAGGGACUCAGGUGUUAGGGCUCAGGAUGGAGUCACUUAGGGACCCAGCAUCCCCUCUUCCCUUCCUCCCUCCUUCCCUCUCUCUCUUUCUUUCUUUUUUUUUUUUUUUAAUCUUUUCUAGGGCCACACCUGCAGCAUAUGGAGGUUCCCAGGCUAGGGGUCUAAUCAGAGCUGUAGCCGCCGGCCUACACCACAGCCACAGCAACACGAGAUUCGAGCUGAAUCUGCCACCUACACGGCAAUGCCGGAUCCUUAACCCACUGAGCAAGGCCAGGGAUCGAACCUGCAGCUUCACAGUUCCUAGUCGGAUUUGUUAACCACUGAGCCACAACAGGAACUCCUUCCCCUUCUUUCUGUUCCAGGUUAAUUUUUUACUCUGGCUUCACCGACCCUGGUGCCUGCUUCCCUCACCGGAAUUCAACUUUCUCCUAAAAAAUCGAUAUAAAGUUGGUAUUAGUCACGAACUUCUACUUCUUUUCUCUUUCCUCUUGUCUUCAUCCUGCUCCCCCCAGCUAUUUCCUGGUCCUCCGUGGCCCUCAGGGCAGGAAACCAGGGAGCAGCAGUGGAGCCAGUGCUGGUUAGGGACUUUGUAAACAUGAGAAGGAUGAUUCAGGGCUCAGGCUUUGCCACUCACCCACGAAGUCUCUUGCAUGACCCUAUCUAGGUAUUCUGGGCCCAAGUCAUAUAAAUAUUUGGCUCAUAGAGGAUGUGACUGGUGGCCUGGGCUAGGCUGGAGCAAGGAAAAUCUGCUUUCUUCAGCCAGACCCUCAAAAAUGACCUGACAUGUUAGUUACUGGUGGGGGUAAGAGGAAUUCCAGUCCUACGUUCCAGCCUCCAAAGCUUAUGGAGGCGAACGAUCCUUGCUGGGUGCCCUUUUUUGGCUGCCCUGCCAGGGAUCAGAUCUGAGCUGCAGUUGUGAACUAUGCUGCAGUUGCAGCAAUGCUGGAUCCUUAACCCACUGCGGGGCCAGGGAUCGAAACUGUCCCAGCACUCCAGAGACUGCAGAUCCUGUUGUGCCACAGCAGGAACUCUGCUCCUCCCCUUUAUCUUCUGGGCCUACUCCUGGCCACCUCCUCAGUGCUCAGGGCUGGUGUCUGCCGUUUGCUGGCCCCCCAUUUCCUCUAGUUCUGGGAGUCACCAGAAUAUCCAAGUAGAAUGGCUCUCAUUCCCAUCUCAGGUAGUAGCUGAAUCUGGCCUUUCCAUACCCUUUUGCUUAGAAAAGAGUUUGCUUCAUACCUACUCUCUAAACCAGUCAUAUUUCCACCUGCUUCUCUGCUGUUUCAUGGCACCUUUUCUGCCCACUGGAGAGGACUUCAAGGUCACAGAGCAGAGACAGGGUGGGGGUGGGGAUGAAUAAUUAAGAACUAUUGGAGUUCCCAUUGUGGCUCAGCGAUAAUGAACCCAACUAGUAUCCAUGAGGAUGUGGGUUUGAUCCCUAGCUUUGCUCAGUGGGUUAAGGAUCCGGUGGUGUAGGUGGCAGAUGUGGCUCCAAUUGCACCCUUAACCUGGGAACCUCCAUGUGCU